GGCCGGCGAUGCGUCCUGGUC
Molecule: non-coding RNA, 21 nt
Filed under: Arabidopsis thaliana (thale cress)
Lineage: Eukaryota; Viridiplantae; Streptophyta; Magnoliopsida; Brassicales; Brassicaceae
Source: RNAcentral